AAGUUAUACUGGUGCUGGAGGUUCUAUUGGUACUGGAGGAGGUUCUACUGGUACUGGAGGAGGUUCUACUGGUACUGGAGGAGGUUCUACUGGUGCUGGAGGAGGUUCUAUUGGUACUG
Molecule: long non-coding RNA, 119 nt
Organism: Fundulus heteroclitus (mummichog)
Lineage: Eukaryota; Metazoa; Chordata; Actinopteri; Cyprinodontiformes; Fundulidae
Exons: 3
Source: RefSeq, a predicted model, not a curated record